This is a long non-coding RNA of Diceros bicornis minor, 758 nucleotides long. RefSeq lists it as uncharacterized. Lineage: Eukaryota; Metazoa; Chordata; Mammalia; Perissodactyla; Rhinocerotidae. The transcript is spliced from 3 exons. The record is from RefSeq and is a predicted model, not a curated record.
CCCGGACCUUGCAGCCCGCGGGCGCGUCCUUGGCCCUCUUCCAGGGGCGCCUCGAUUUUCCAAACUCGGGAAGGCCGGCUGUCUUUCGGCUACUGAUAAGGACGCGAGCGCGUGGUAAAAGAAUUUCACAAUGCCCGGAAAGAAAUAGCCGGACCCAAGAAAGAAACUAAUAAUAGCCGUCUGCUCGUGUAGCGGUCUUAAGAACAAUAAUAACGACAACCACCAUAACAGCCACCAUUUAUUGUGCGCUUACUCUGUGCUAGGCACUGUGUUAAGCGCUUUGCAGGCAACAACCUUCGGAGCCCGGAGCGGUGUGCAUCAGUAUUCUCCUUUGACAGAUGAGGUCACAAGACUGAACUGCUGAUUUUUGGCCAAGCAGAUGGCUGCCUCAUAAGGACUACAUUUCCCAGCCUCCCUUGCAGCUUGAUGUGGCCAUGAGUCUAAGUUCUCACCAAUGGACUGUGAGCAGAAAUGAUUGUACCACUUCUGAGCUGUGCCCUCAGCAGAGAUGUGCAUGAGCCUUCCCUUGACUAGGAGAUAAUAAAAAUUGAAGCAGUCUCUCUGGACCUGGAGAGGGAGGCCACAUUUGGAGGAUGGCAGAGCCCUCCUGUGAGUCCUAGAUGGCUCUUUUCUGAACUGUAAUAUGAUAUGAAAGAGACAUAAAUUGCUAUUUCACUUACACUUGUGUAUUUGGAGUCUUUGUUACAGCAACUUUUCCCGUACUCUAUAAAAUACAAGGUUCCUGGCUUCCCCGGGCC